AACAAAAUUUAGUCGAGAAACAGAUUUCUGGUACAUGAAUACUGUUUCCAUAGCAAUUCCAUUGUAAGCGUUGGGGGAGGGGAACACCCACUGAAUACAGCUAAGUAUUCUGGCAGCUGCUUAUUCUCCAGGUAUCUACCUUCGUAGUGGCUAGGCCUCCCGCUUUUCUGUAGAUACCACGGCAGGGGCUUGGACUCUGGUUUACACCAGUUCAGAUCUAUGCAAUGUUUGUCGCGUUGCUCGCCACUCUAGACUCCACAAGCAUAGAGCAUGGUCGUACAACAUCUAUAUUUUAAAGCCUGGCCUGAAAAGAUGUACAUCUCCACUCCACACAUCCACAUCAUCUCAAUACCCCAGCAGGAAGAGCGUGCCCCGGAGUGCAUACCCCAGCGUGCGUCAUGCGUGAGCACAAAAGCAGAGUCAUCCUUCUUGGUCAAAGCUCUUACCAGUAACAAGACUGCUGAAAUGAUGAGGAAUCAAAAGAAGACACUAGAACUUUCCAGGAUUGUACAUCUUAGACUGCUCACUCCUGCAUAUGGUCCCUGCUCCAGGGGAUGUAUACCUCUGAAUCCUGUGGCCCAGAGAGCUUACCCCAAUGCCACGAUUCACAAACGGUACACUUGAGAAAGGAGCGCUCCCUCGACACUA
Long non-coding RNA from Mus musculus (house mouse), 648 nucleotides. RefSeq annotates it as RIKEN cDNA 1700041I07 gene. The record is from RefSeq and is a predicted model, not a curated record. The transcript has 2 exons. NCBI's taxonomy places the organism in Eukaryota, Metazoa, Chordata, Mammalia, Rodentia, Muridae.